RNAcentral lists this small nuclear RNA (131 nucleotides) under Ursus thibetanus thibetanus. Its description in RNAcentral is "U2 spliceosomal RNA (ENSUTTG00000002887.1)". It matches the Rfam family "U2 spliceosomal RNA". From Rfam's summary of the family: U2 is a small nuclear RNA (snRNA) component of the spliceosome (involved in pre-mRNA splicing). Complementary binding between U2 snRNA (in an area lying towards the 5' end but 3' to hairpin I) and the branchpoint sequence (BPS) of the intron results the bulging out of an unpaired adenosine, on the BPS, which initiates a nucleophilic attack at the intronic 5' splice site, thus starting the first of two transesterification reactions that mediate splicing. Lineage: Eukaryota; Metazoa; Chordata; Mammalia; Carnivora; Ursidae. The record is from RNAcentral.
AUCGCUUCUCGGCCUUUUGGCUAAGAUCAAGUGUGAAAAUAUCUUAAAUUCUAAUUUUUCUUAACUGGAGUUUUACAAAAAAUUUAACCCCUACUGGAUAUGAUUUGAAUGACUAUUUUGUCAGCUCUCCC